RNAcentral lists this ribosomal RNA (256 nucleotides) under uncultured bacterium. RNAcentral's name for it is "partial 16S ribosomal RNA". It matches the Rfam family "Bacterial small subunit ribosomal RNA", at positions 524 to 777 of the family's 1533-position model. The record is from RNAcentral.
UACGUAGGGUCCAAGCGUUAUCCGGAAUUACUGGGCGUAAAGCGUGUGUAGGCGGGAGUUUAAGUGCAAUGCGAAAUCUUGUGGCUCAACCAUAUAGACUGUAUUGCAUACUGGACACCUUGAGGAUGGCAGAGGCAAGUGGAAUUUGUAGUGUAGCAGUGAAAUGCGUAGAUAUUACAAGGAACACCAAUGGCGAAGGCAGCUUGGCUGGGCCAUAUCUGACGCUGAGACACGAAAGCGUGGGGAGCGAACAGGA